RNAcentral lists this ribosomal RNA (253 nucleotides) under uncultured bacterium. RNAcentral describes it as "partial 16S ribosomal RNA". It matches the Rfam family "Bacterial small subunit ribosomal RNA", at positions 524 to 776 of the family's 1533-position model. The record is from RNAcentral.
UACGUAGGGUGCGAGCGUUAUUCGGAAUUACUGGGCGUAAAGCGCGCGCAGGCGGCGGCGUUGGCCCGGCGUGAAAGCCCCCGGCUCAACCGGGGAGAGUCGUCGGGGACCGCACCGCUUGAGGGCGGUAGGGGCUGGUGGAAUGCCUGGUGUAGUGGUGAAAUGCGUAGAGAUCAGGCAGAACACCUGGGGCGAAGGCGGCCAGCUGGGCCGUCCCUGACGCUGAGGCGCGAAGGCGUGGGGAGCGAACGGG